UCUCCUGGAAUGGGAGGGCCAGCUCCGCAGCCGGGCAGAUGAUGCCGCUGCAGAGCACGAAGCCGGGUCAGGAUCCGGCCCGGGGGAGGCUGGCUGAGCCAUCCUGCAAAACUCAGGCUGAGGAGUGCCGAGGGGCAGGCGUGAGGGAGAGGAGUGAGAAGCCACCCCCAAACUCGUCUUCGCCAAAUGCUCAAUCCAUCGCAGGUUCUGGCCGGGGCCGGCACUCUGGGCCCUCACUUGAAGGUGAAUAAGAAGGGUGCAAGUUAGCAGAAGAGAUGAAGCCGAGCUUUUCGUCAGCCCCAGAGUCACGGAAAGUCCCUGAAACCUUGCGAGUUAAUUGAGCAGGGGACGGUCCCCAGAACGGCGAAGAGAUGGGGAGCGGCGGGGCAGCGCGGCCGCUCUCCGGCAGCGGGCAGGGGUGGGCAGCCGGCGGCGGCCCCCGCCGCUCUGCCUCCGGCACCCCCGCACCCUCCCCGGCGUGCAGGGAGCACAACCGAACAAACUGGUCUAUUGUACUGCAAGACAUUUACCAACCCCCAAACCUGUUACAAAACAGCAAACCCGGGCUUCUUUCUUUGGGGAGAAAACUGCGCACUCCACACUCACUCACGCACACGCAUAAAACAUGGCAGGCGGGAGAGGAAGGAGAGAAAAGGAGGGGGAGGGCAGCGGGGAGGAAGACUGGAGAUAGGUAAGUGCGCCCCAGGGCAGGAGCGUGCCUUUUCAGGCCUCGCCUCCCCCCUUCCAGCACUCUCCCCGCCGCCUCGGCUGCCGGAGGGGCAUCUUUCAUCUCGGGGAUUCUUCCAGCGACGCCUUUGGCACAUUCACUGCUGUCGCCGAACCCCUCACGGCCGUGAAUUACCACUGCCCCCUAGGAUGGGGGUCCCCGUGGGAAGGUGCGCCGCCGGGGGGCCCCGAGGACCAGGACUUCUACUGGAAGAGAGCCCACACUCCAUGCGAGUGUCCGCGCCAGUGGGCAGCGCUCCGGCCAUCUCGCCCAAGCCGUGCCUCCAGCACUGGGCAGCGCUAGUGACUGACGCAAGGUUUUUCUCCCUAAAUCGUGUAGAAAUAAAACAAAAACAAUAAAAGUA
Catharus ustulatus (Swainson's thrush) is the source of this 1091-nucleotide long non-coding RNA. RefSeq lists it as uncharacterized. Lineage: Eukaryota; Metazoa; Chordata; Aves; Passeriformes; Turdidae. The transcript is spliced from 2 exons. The record is from RefSeq and is a predicted model, not a curated record.